Zea mays is the source of this 47-nucleotide non-coding RNA. The record is from Rfam. NCBI's taxonomy places the organism in Eukaryota, Viridiplantae, Streptophyta, Magnoliopsida, Poales, Poaceae.
UCAAUGGCUUUUUUCAAAGCCAUAGCCCAACCAAACAGACUCGAAAG